This 349-nucleotide unclassified non-coding RNA is filed under the name soil metagenome. RNAcentral describes it as "partial contains 5.8S ribosomal RNA, internal transcribed spacer 2, and large subunit ribosomal RNA". The stretch from base 1 to 120 matches the Rfam family "5.8S ribosomal RNA", at positions 35 to 154 of the family's 154-position model. The record is from RNAcentral.
GAUGAAGAACGUAGCGAAAUGCGAUAAGUAAUGUGAAUUGCAGAAUUCAGUGAAUCAUCGAAUCUUUGAACGCACAUUGCGCCCGCCAGUAUUCUGGCGGGCAUGCCUGUCUGAGCGUCAUUUCAACCCUCAUGCCCCUAGGGCGUGGUGUUGGGGAUCGGCCAAAGCCCGCGAGGGACGGCCGGCCCCUAAAUCUAGUGGCGGACCCGUCGUGGCCUCCUCUGCGAAGUAGUGAUAUUCCGCAUCGGAGAGCGAUGAGCCCCUGCCGUUAAACCCCCAACUUUCCAAGGUUGACCUCAGAUCAGGUAGGAAUACCCGCUGAACUUAAGCAUAUCAAUAAAGCGGAGGA